This 587-nucleotide long non-coding RNA is filed under the name Elaeis guineensis (African oil palm). Its description in RNAcentral is "long non-coding RNA (EGUI_LNC029269)". Lineage: Eukaryota; Viridiplantae; Streptophyta; Magnoliopsida; Arecales; Arecaceae. The record is from RNAcentral.
CACAUUUAUGGUUAGCAACCACCUGAAACCUAUUUUACUGUUAUUUUUUCAAGCUUGUCUGUUCUUUUUAUAUGUGCGUCUCAUGUAUCUGUAUAUAUUUUGGAGAUGGGUGAGCUUGGAACAGCUUGUAUAAAUUCUCAAGUACCAUUAAGCUUCUAAUAAGUGAGAUAACGGUGUACAGUUUUGAAGCUGGAUGGACUUAUUUUAGUACACCUAACUUUGGCAGACUUGAGGUGGUCAUAGUUCGAGAGUUUGCCUGACUGAUAUGGAAGCAAAUGGUAUGAUGAAAUGUAAAUCUCCUGAAGGAGUUUACAUUCGUAUCAGAUUUAGGGUUUUGGAGAGUGGAUUUUAGUUUUGAAGAUAUGACAGUCAAUCUUGAUAUGCUCCACCUGCUAGUGGCAACUUACUAAACCCUUUAUUUAUCAUAUACCAUAAUUUUGAUCAUCCAGUCACACUUCUUAUUAACUCCUGUCAUUACAUUAACAUGACAGACAUACAUUGUCAGAUAUGUAAAACUAUAAAUAUCUAAGUUCAGGUAUUUGAAACCACAUGCUGUAUUAUCCUGAGUUAUAAAUUCACUGUCCCCA